This 547-nucleotide ribosomal RNA is filed under the name uncultured bacterium. Its description in RNAcentral is "partial 16S ribosomal RNA". It matches the Rfam family "Bacterial small subunit ribosomal RNA", at positions 357 to 900 of the family's 1533-position model. The record is from RNAcentral.
UGGGAAUUUGGACAAUGGGCGAAGCCUGAUCCAGCAAUGCCGCGUGUGUGAAGAAGGCCUUCGGGUUGUAAAGCACUUUUGUCCGGAAAGAAAUCCUUGGCUCUAAUACAGUCGGGGGAUGACGGUACCGGAAGAAUAAGCACCGGCUAACUACGUGCCAGCAGCCGCGGUAAUACGUAGGGUGCAAGCGUUAAUCGGAAUUACUGGGCGUAAAGCGUGCGCAGGCGGUUUGCUAAGACCGAUGUGAAAUCCCCGGGCUCAACCUGGGAACUGCAUUGGUGACUGGCAGGCUAGAGUAUGGCAGAGGGGGGUAGAAUUCCACGUGUAGCAGUGAAAUGCGUAGAGAUGUGGAGGAAUACCGAUGGCGAAGGCAGCCCCCUGGGCCAAUACUGACGCUCAUGCACGAAAGCGUGGGGAGCAAACAGGAUUNGAUACCCUGGUAGUCCACGCCCUAAACGAUGUCAACUAGUUGUUGGGGAUUCAUUUCCUUAGUAACGUAGCUAACGCGUGAAGUUGACCGCCUGGGGAGUACGUCGCAAGAUUAAAC